GCGGGUAUAAUUUAGUGGUAAAAUGUCAGCUUCCCAAGCUGAAUAUGCGGGUUCGAUUCCCGCUAUCCGCUCCA
This 74-nucleotide transfer RNA is filed under the name Acetivibrio sp. MSJd-27. Its description in RNAcentral is "tRNA-Gly". It matches the Rfam family "tRNA". Rfam says of the family: Transfer RNA (tRNA) molecules are approximately 80 nucleotides in length. Their secondary structure includes four short double-helical elements and three loops (D, anti-codon, and T loops). Lineage: Bacteria; Bacillati; Bacillota; Clostridia; Acetivibrionales; Acetivibrionaceae. The record is from RNAcentral.